This is a long non-coding RNA of Anguilla rostrata (American eel), 2364 nucleotides long. RefSeq lists it as uncharacterized. The record is from RefSeq and is a predicted model, not a curated record. NCBI's taxonomy places the organism in Eukaryota, Metazoa, Chordata, Actinopteri, Anguilliformes, Anguillidae. The transcript is spliced from 3 exons.
CACAACACAAUGGAGGAACUUGAAGCUAUGCUGUACUUUUUCGUCAGGAUUUGGUUUUGCAUUAACCGUUUAUUUUAUUUUCAAAUUUGCUAGUUAACGUUACUCUUUCUUGCUCUUGUGGUAUUUAAAAAUGGCAGUUGCUGCUGGUGAACAAACAUGAAAAUGGGAUGAUGUAUUUGUGACGAUUCCCAUUGACUAAUCAAUGGUCUGCAGUAUCGUAUUGCAGCACGGAUAGUACUUUUGGUACCUACCCCAGAGCAGUAGCUAAAAUCGGCACAGGUCAGUUGGCAGUGGAGAAAGCAGAACAAAGCGGGAGCACGAAUUCCGGUAAGGCACGGCACUUGGUUUUGAGGUGACCGAUGGGCCACUCAGGAGUACAUCCUGGACACACUGGUCCACAGUAACCAGAAUUGUGCCCACAUGGCUACACACCUCUCCAUUGCUGCAUAGAUCCAGAUUCCAUUAUCAACCGGAUAAAUGCCAGCAUUGAACAAGCUUAUCCAAAUGCUAUUGUCAAAUGUAAUGUUAGCUGUAUUGUUUAGCUAGCUAGCGAACUACCAGCCAUACUUACCGUGCCAUGCAGGUGCACUGCCCGCCCGGGACUUCGCCAGACUUCGUCGCAACGAUCCAGGCGGAGUAGCACUUGGAAAGCGCCUGACCUGCCUCGAUUUCCCCGUAAACAACACAUGUAUUUCCAUUCUUGUGGGUUAGGAUGCUUUUAACUUUUCCGGAAUGAAAAUAGUUAUAGGCAUCCAAGCUGCGAUAUACCUUGAACGUCUCCCUUGUAUAUAUACAUUGCCUCUCGACUACGUAUUCAAAGAUGUUUACCUGACUGACCUCCGGUAAAUCAGACUGGUCCGUAGAAAAACUGUCUCAACAUUUUGUUGAAAGGGUCUGGUAGUGUAACGGUAUCACACGUUUGGCCAAGUAACGGUUCUUUUCUUUGACUGGUAACCCCAAAUAAUACAUAGUUUUAACUAGCUAGCUAACGUAAUUUACUUGUUAUUUAUUUUGCUUGUUAUCAGAAAUAGUCUAGAGGGACUCUGUUGUUAUUGAUUGUUUGCGGAAGUCUGCCGGAAGUUUGGGCCAUAACAACGCACAUGCGCAGUAACGUUUGUUUAUGUUGUUACCGUUGAAAGCGUCUAUAAUUCUAUUUCCGGGCCAUGGCAGCCAUCUUAGGGUGGUGCCACAUGCAGAAGUAUCAAAUUUAGAGCCCAACUGAUAUAUCAGACGGCCGAUAUAUCGGGCCGAUAUUUGCAUUUUUGGACCAUAUCUGUAUCGGUAGUCAAAGACGAUAUGUGGCCAAUAUGUAGGACCGAUAAUUUUUUUUUUUUUUAACACUGACACAUGGCGCUCCUAGCACUCUAUCUAGUGUUUCUCACUGCCAACAACAUCAAUAAGGUUCAUGUGACCUGGAACCUUCACUCAGUCAGAGAGCAGCGCUGGAGGUAGACUGACUGACUGAAACUGACAAGGAAGAAUAAGAUGGUUGAAAAGCGACAGCGAAUGGGCAGUAAGGUGUGGGACUACUUCUGCAAAGAUGAUAUGACAGAAUCAGGCAGCAAGCACAACAAGAGGUGAAUAUCAAUGAAUGUCAACAACUGACAGCAGUAUGGGUCAAUGGACUGGGGCAGCAAGCAUAUCAUAAUGUUCAUGGUGCGCAAAUUGAGACUGUUGAUUCUUACAAAUAUUUACAUAUAUACUUCCCCCUUACCUCUCGACAUUAAUCAUGCUGAAGGUCAAUAACAAUUCCACAAGAUCUGAUUAUUUGAUUUUAGACACACCAUGUGUGAAAACCAAGUUUGGUCAGUAUUGUUUUAAAUUCUUUGCCCCUUUUAUCUGGAAUUCUUUUCAAGACGUACAAGCGCAUAAACUAACAUCCCUUGUCCUGUUAAAUAAUUAAAAGAUUAUUAUACCGAUUUUUCAAAUUCUGUAUGUAAAUGUUUUGAUUGAUUGUAUGCUGUCUGUUUUUUAACUGAACUGUAUCUGUCUGUUUCUAUGCCUGUAUGUGUUUCUUACCUAGUAUGUAUAUAGGUCUCACUUGAAAAAGAGAUUCCAAUCUCAAUGUGAUCACCUAUUUAAAUAAAGGAUAUAUAAUAAUGUGUUGUCAUUGGAAAUCCACUUGCAAAUAAGCAUUUUAUUGUUCUGUCUAUGCUUGUAUGCCAGUACAUAUGAGAACAAACAUCCUUGAACCUUAACAGAAAUAUUCCACCCUAGAAGACAAUUUGUACAGUGAAAAUCACAUACACCUGAUCAAUAACAAUACACCAUCCUGUAAACAUUGUUUUACAUUACAUGGUGCACAAUAUUCCACUCAUUUGGAGCAGAUAUUGUGUGUUUUGUUUGUUUCUAUGUAUCAUAUGU